GCAGCCAAGAGAGAGCGUUGAAGCCCUUCCGAGAGCCCUGCAAGCCUCUGCCUCAGGUGGUGAACUUUCCCAGCAGCUGGACAUGGAGCCUGGAACAGGCAUGCAGCUCGAGGCCCCAAACCAGGCUUUGCAAGAAGAGCUGUCCACUCUGCUUGGGAAGUGUGAACAACUGGAGAAGAGCAAAUGUCAGCUGCAAGAAGAGGUGACAAAACUCCACCACCAUUUGGAGACUUUGGUGCUGGAUGGCAGCCAAAGAGAACAGUGUACAGGAGAGGUGGCAGAAGGAGCUGACCAGGAAAGAAGUGCAAAGCUACAAGAGGUCAGCCUCGUUUUGCAAGCACAGGCAGCCCACCAGGCCCCACUAGGAC
Long non-coding RNA from Pseudopipra pipra, 368 nucleotides. RefSeq lists it as uncharacterized. The transcript has 3 exons. Lineage: Eukaryota; Metazoa; Chordata; Aves; Passeriformes; Pipridae. The record is from RefSeq and is a predicted model, not a curated record.